GGGCCUGGCGGGUGCUACACAUGCAAGUCGAACGAUGAACCGCUUUCGGGCGGGGAUUAGUGGCGAACGGGUGAGUAACACGUGGGCAAUCUGCCCUGCACUCUGGGACAAGCCCUGGAAACGGGGUCUAAUACCGGAUAUGACUGUCCGCCGCAUGGUGGAUGGUGUAAAGCUCCGGCGGUGCAGGAUGAGCCCGCGGCCUAUCAGCUUGUUGGUGAGGUAGUGGCUCACCAAGGCGACGACGGGUAGCCGGCCUGAGAGGGCGACCGGCCACACUGGGACUGAGACACGGCCCAGACUCCUACGGGAGGCAGCAGUGGGGAAUAUUGCACAAUGGGCGAAAGCCUGAUGCAGCGACGCCGCGUGAGGGAUGACGGCCUUCGGGUUGUAAACCUCUUUCAGCAGGGAAGAAGCGAGAGUGACGGUACCUGCAGAAGAAGCGCCGGCUAACUACGUGCCAGCAGCCGCGGUAAUACGUAGGGCGCAAGCGUUGUCCGGAAUUAUUGGGCGUAAAGAGCUCGUAGGCGGCUUGUCACGUCGGUUGUGAAAGCCCGGGGCUUAACCCCGGGUCUGCAGUCGAUACGGGCAGGCUAGAGUUCGGUAGGGGAGAUCGGAAUUCCUGGUGUAGCGGUGAAAUGCGCAGAUAUCAGGAGGAACACCGGUGGCGAAGGCGGAUCUCUGGGCCGAUACUGACGCUGAGGAGCGAAAGCGUGGGGAGCGAACAGGAUUAGAUACCCUGGUAGUCCACGCCGUAAACGGUGGGCACUAGGUGUGGGCAACAUUCCACGUUGUCCGUGCCGCAGCUAACGCAUUAAGUGCCCCGCCUGGGGAGUACGGCCGCAAGGCUAAAACUCAAAGGAAUUGAC
RNAcentral lists this ribosomal RNA (866 nucleotides) under Streptomyces violascens. RNAcentral describes it as "bacterial SSU rRNA". It matches the Rfam family "Bacterial small subunit ribosomal RNA", at positions 36 to 914 of the family's 1533-position model. The record is from RNAcentral. Lineage: Bacteria; Bacillati; Actinomycetota; Actinomycetes; Kitasatosporales; Streptomycetaceae.